This 497-nucleotide ribosomal RNA is filed under the name uncultured bacterium. RNAcentral's name for it is "partial 16S ribosomal RNA". It matches the Rfam family "Bacterial small subunit ribosomal RNA", at positions 28 to 507 of the family's 1533-position model. The record is from RNAcentral.
GAUGAACGCUGGCGGCGUGCCUAAUACAUGCAAGUCGAGCGAACGGACGAGAAGCUUGCUUCUCUGAUGUUAGCGGCGGACGGGUGAGUAACACGUGGAUAACCUACCUAUAAAACUGGGAUAACUUCGGGAAACCGUAGCUAAUACCGGAUGAUAUUUUGAACCGCAUGGUUCAAAAGUGAAAGACGGUCUUUCUGUCACUUAUAGAUGGAUCCGCGCUGCAUUAGCUAGUUGGUAAGGUAACGGCUUACCAAGGCAACGAUGCAUAGCCGACCUGAGAGGGUGAUCGGCCACACUGGAACUGAGACACGGUCCAGACUCCUACGGGAGGCAGCAGUAGGGAAUCUUCCGCAAUGGGCGAAAGCCUGACGGAGCAACGCCGCGUGAGUGAUGAAGGUCUUCGGAUCGUAAAACUCUGUUAUUAGGGAAGAACAUAUGUGUAAGUAACUGUGCACAUCUUGACGGUACCUAAUCAGAAAGCCACGGCUAACUACGUG